This 1394-nucleotide ribosomal RNA is filed under the name uncultured Ruminococcus sp. RNAcentral's name for it is "bacterial SSU rRNA". It matches the Rfam family "Bacterial small subunit ribosomal RNA". Lineage: Bacteria; Bacillati; Bacillota; Clostridia; Eubacteriales; Oscillospiraceae. The record is from RNAcentral.
GUUUGAUCCUGGCUCAGGACGAACGCUGGCGGCGCGCCUAACACAUGCAAGUCGAACGGGAACUGUCCGGAGCUUGCUUCGGAGGGUUUCAGUGGCGGACGGGUGAGUAACGCGUGAGGAACCUGCCUUUCAGAGGGGGAUAACGUCCGGAAACGGACGCUAAUACCGCAUGACAUCCCGGGAUCACAUGGUUCUGGGAUCAAAGGAGCAAUCCGCUGGAAGAUGGACUCGCGUCCGAUUAGCCGGUUGGUGAGGUAACGGCCCACCAAAGCUGCGAUCGGUAGCCGGACUGAGAGGUUGAACGGCCACAUUGGACUGGAGGAACACCGGCCAGAACUCUAACGGAGGCAGGCAGUGGGGGAAUCCUGCACAAUGGAGGGAACUCUGAUGCAGCGACGCGCGUGAGGGAAAACGGUUUUCGGAUUGUAAACCUCUGUCCCCGGUGACGAUAAUGACGGUAGCCGAGGAGGAAGCUCCGGCUAACUACGUGCCAGCAGCCGCGGUAAUACGUAGGGAGCGAGCGUUGUCCGGAUUUACUGGGUGUAAAGGGUGCGUAGGCGGCUGAACAAGUCAGGUGUGAAAACCAUCGGCUCAACUGAUGGAUUGCACUUGAAACUGUGCAGCUUGAGUGAAGCAGAGGCAGGCGGAAUUCCCGGUGUAGCGGUGAAAUGCGUAGAGAUCGGGAGGAACACCAGUGGCGAAGGCGGCCUGCUGGGCUUUAACUGACGCUGAGGCACGAAAGCAUGGGUAGCAAACAGGAUUAGAUACCCUGGUAGUCCAUGCCGUAAACGAUGAUUACUAGGUGUGGGUGGUCUGACCCCAUCCGUGCCGGAGUUAACACAAUAAGUAAUCCACCUGGGGAGUACGGCCGCAAGGUUGAAACUCAAAGGAAUUGACGGGGGCCCGCACAAGCAGUGGAGUAUGUGGUUUAAUUCGAAGCAACGCGAAGAACCUUUACCAGGUCUUGACAUCUGCCGGGAUCCCGCGGAGACGCGGGGGUGCCCUUUCGGGGAGCGGCAAGACAGGUGGUGCAUGGGUUGUCGUCAGCUCGUGUCGUGAGAUGUGGGUUAAGUCCCGCAACGAGCGCAACCCUUGUGAUUAGUUGCUACGCAAGAGCCACCUCUAAUCAGACUGCCGUUGACAAAACGGAGGAAGGUGGGGAUGACGUCAAAUCAUCAUGCCCCUUAUGACCUGGGCUACACACGUACUACAAUGGCCGCGCACAGAGGGAAGCGAAACCGCGAGGCGGAGCGAACCCCCAAAAACGGUCUCAGUUCGGAUCGCAGGCUGCAACCCGCCUGCGUGAAGCUGGAAUCGCUAGUAAUCGCGGAUCAUCAUGCCGCGGUGAAUACGUUCCCGGGCCUUGUACACACCGCCCGUCACACCAUGGGAGC